Molecule: ribosomal RNA, 512 nt
Filed under: uncultured bacterium
Lineage: Bacteria
Description: partial 16S ribosomal RNA
Rfam family: Bacterial small subunit ribosomal RNA
Source: RNAcentral
GAUGAACGCUGGCGGCGUGCUUAAUACAUGCAAGUCGAAUGAAUUGAAGAUGUGCUUGCACAUCUGAUGUUAGUGGCGAACGGGUGAGUAAUACAUAGGCAACUUGCCCCAAGGACUGGGAUAACACUUAGAAAUGAGUGCUAAUACCGGAUAGGUAAUACAAAGGCAUCUUAGUAUUAUUGAAGUUGGGUAUCCGACACCAUGGGAUGGGCUUAUGCUGUAUUAGCUAGUUGGUGAGAUAAAAGCCCACCAAGGCGAUGAUACAUAGCUGGUCUGAGAGGAUGAACAGCCACAUUGGGACUGAGACACGGCCCAGACUCCUACGGGAGGCAGCAGUAAGGAAUUUUCGGCAAUGGAGGAAACUCUGACCGAGCAACGCCGCGUGAGUGAUGAAGGCCUUCGGGUUGUAAAGCUCUGUUGUAAAGGAAGAAUGUAUAGAAAAGGAAAUGUUUCUAUAGUGACGGUACUUUACUAGAAAGUCACGGCUUACUACGUGCCAGCCGCCGCUGUAA